UACGGAGGAUCCGAGCGUUAUCCGGAUUUAUUGGGUUUAAAGGGUGCGCAGGCGGGAGAUUAAGUCGGCGGUGAAAUUUUGCAGCUCAACUGUAAAAGUGCCUUCGAAACUGGUUUCCUUGAGUGUAGAUGAAGUAGGCGGAAUUUGUGGUGUAGCGGUGAAAUGCAUUGAUAUCACGAGGAACUCCGAUUGCGCAGGCAGCUUACUAAACUACUACUGACGCUCAGGCACGAAGGCGUGGGGAUCAAACAGGAUUAGAUACCCCUGUA
RNAcentral lists this ribosomal RNA (269 nucleotides) under uncultured prokaryote. Its description in RNAcentral is "partial 16S ribosomal RNA". It matches the Rfam family "Bacterial small subunit ribosomal RNA", at positions 524 to 792 of the family's 1533-position model. The record is from RNAcentral.